UCCAACUUAUGUCCCAAUUGUAUACAUGUCAUGUAGUAAAAUCUUGCGAUAAAGGUUUAUGAUAGGUGUUAUGUACACAAGCAUUGGAAAGCUGUAUAAUUUUACUUUGCUUGCAUUCUCUCUCUUGGUGGUGAUAUGUGUUCUUUGGGUUCCUUCAAGUAACCCAACUAGCUUGUUGGAAGCCAUUGAUCUCAUCCUCCAAGGUGCUCAGAAUCUUGUGGUACCAAUAAAGUCCAAUUCAAGAAGAAAACUGCAAGAAUCUCCCACAGCUCACAACGGCUGUGAAUUCUGCUGACCCAAGAAGACGUGAUCAGAUUUAGUCAAAAUUGAAAUGAAAACUUGUGAUUUUAGAGUUGAUAUUUCAAUACAAUUACCAAGACUUUCUGACAUUUAAUGAUCUGUCUUCUGCUUCUCUAUGUACUGUUUGAUGUAUUGGUUGUUAAGAUACAGUUCUAUUAACUAUUGGUAUGCAUAUAUAAUUACCAAGUUAUAAGUGUGUACAUAUCAUAGAUGAGUAAUAUGGCUUUGAAAUUGGAUGAUUUGUGUAGAUUGUUGUCUAAUUUCAUGUGGUAUUUGAAGUA
Camellia sinensis is the source of this 581-nucleotide non-coding RNA. Lineage: Eukaryota; Viridiplantae; Streptophyta; Magnoliopsida; Ericales; Theaceae. The record is from RefSeq and is a predicted model, not a curated record.